UAGGGAAUCUUCGGCAAUGGACGGAAGUCUGACCGAGCAACGCCGCGUGAGUGAAGAAGGUUUUCGGAUCGUAAAGCUCUGUUGUAAGAGAAGAACGAGUGUGAGAGUGGAAAGUUCACACUGUGACGGUAACUUACCAGAAAGGGACGGCUAACUACGUGCCAGCAGCCGCGGUAAUACGUAGGUCCCGAGCGUUAUCCGGAUUUAUUGGGCGUAAAGCGAGCGCAGGCGGUUAGAUAAAUCUGAAGUUAAAGGCUGUGGCUUAACCAUAGUACGCUUUGGAAACUGUUUAACUUGAGUGCAGAAGGGGGGAGUGGAAUUCCAUGUGUAGCGGUGAAAUGCGUAGAUAUAUGGAGGAACACCGGUGGCGAAAGCGGCUCUCUGGUCUGUAACUGACGCUGAGGCUCGAAAGCGUGGGGAGCAAACAGGAUUAGAUACCCUGGUAGUCCACGCCGUAAACGAUGAGUGCUAGGUGUUGGGUCCUUUCCGGGACUCAGUGCCGCAGCUAACGCAUUAAGCACUCCGCCUGGGGAGUACGACCGCAAGGUUG
RNAcentral lists this ribosomal RNA (550 nucleotides) under uncultured bacterium. RNAcentral describes it as "bacterial SSU rRNA". It matches the Rfam family "Bacterial small subunit ribosomal RNA", at positions 355 to 896 of the family's 1533-position model. The record is from RNAcentral.